Molecule: ribosomal RNA, 450 nt
Filed under: uncultured bacterium
Lineage: Bacteria
Description: partial 16S ribosomal RNA
Rfam family: Bacterial small subunit ribosomal RNA
Source: RNAcentral
GUGGGGAAUAUUGGACAAUGGGCGAAAGCCUGAUCCAGCCAUGCCGCGUGUGUGAAGAAGGUCUUCGGAUUGUAAAGCACUUUAAGUUGGGAGGAAGGGCAUUAACCUAAUACGUUAGUGUUUUGACGUUACCGACAGAAUAAGCACCGGCUAACUUCGUGCCAGCAGCCGCGGUAAUACGAAGGGUGCAAGCGUUAAUCGGAAUUACUGGGCGUAAAGCGCGCGUAGGUGGUUCGUUAAGUUGGAUGUGAAAGCCCCGGGCUCAACCUGGGAACUGCAUCCAAAACUGGCGAGCUAGAGUACGGUAGAGGGUGGUGGAAUUUCCUGUGUAGCGGUGAAAUGCGUAGAUAUAGGAAGGAACACCAGUGGCGAAGGCGACCACCUGGACUGAUACUGACACUGAGGUGCGAAAGCGUGGGGAGCAAACAGGAUUAGAUACCCCAGUAGUCC